AGUUAUAAACUAUAUAUAUUAUAAAUUAAUAAUUUAUUUACCCUUGAAGUCUAACGAUUAAAAAUAGAACAUAAUUCAAUAUAGAUAUAUGAUUCUAUUAAUAAAUUAGCAGUUACAAAUUUGAAAUUUCUAGAAAUAUCAAAAGUCGUAUGUUAGUUAAUUAUCUUCUAAAUGACUAUUUCUAAUUAUUUUUGGAUGAGAAUAUUUUGGUUGAGGUGGAUAAUCACAAAAACCUUGAAUUUAGUCAUUUUUAUAUAGUAGGAUUAAUCUGGUAUAUGUUUCGCUUCAGUCACGUGUUCGAUUUUUAAAGCAUUUGUUAAGUUCUUAAACCAAACAUACCUCCUAUGUAUUGGUUCUCUAUGUACUGAAGAAUAUAAUGAUUUUGACGUUUAAUAUAAAGCUCUUUCUGUACUGGCGUAUUUUUCUGUUAAAUGUAUAUAUAUACCCUUUAGUUGUGGUUUCGUCUGUUUCAUUCUUUAUGAAUAAUUUUUGUAAGGUUUCUGAAAGUUGUCCAUAUUGUUGGUAAAUUCUAAGUGAGAGAUCUUUAAAGGCAAACUUCUUACUAAAGAGUAUAGUUUAACACUCAUCUUCCUAUGCAUGCGUUUAAUUGGGGAAAAGUUGGACUCGAAGAAGAUGUGGAAUGACCAGAACAAAAAGUUCUGAAGAGAAAUCUGAUAAGAACACAAUUUCAAUUUGUCCUUAUCAACCUCAUCGAAAAAUUCCAAGGCAUAUCAUUAUAUGUAUGAUCUACAUAUCUGAAUUACAAGUACAAACAUAAUAUCUUUAUAAUAGAACAUGCCCACUUAUUGAAGUGUAAUACAUGCUUUUGAGUUUUGAAUGGUAUAAUCUGUUUAAUUAUCUUGCUCUUUGUUAAAAAGAUACUACAAAAAAAUCAGAAUAAGAAAGAAAUCAACAAUGAGUUCAUCAUCAUGUUUGUGUAGUUAGUUAUUUGAUUCAGCGAUCCUUGUAUCUUGUCAUGAAAAGCUAACUUAAUAGACGAGGCGAAGGAGGGCAUGAAGAGUGAACAUCCUGGCAAGCGGAAGGAAAACAUUUUCCUUUAUUGCUACACUUCUUUCCGGGUAUUCGGAAGUCUUGUAAUUUAUGUUGUCGACUCCUUGUCAAAAUCAUAAAACUGAAACAGUCUAUUUGUGGUUAUGAAAUUAUGUUUUUUUUAAAUUGUACUGGUUGCAUCAGUUUUAUGGUAUAAUUUGACUCUUUAAAGAACAUACAAAUGACAAUUGACGUACAAUGAUGAAAGCUUUGAUUCAUAAGCUAGUAGUCAUCUAAAACAUUUAUAACACAUAACUAAAAAAUGGUUUCAAUUAAAAUCCAGCAAAAACAACUAAUGAUAUUUGGAGAUUGUAAUUCUUUCGUAGAAAAUUACAUAUCUGAGGAUUAUCAAAAAAAAAAAAAAUUACAUAUCUGAGAUUUAGUUAAUUACGUUGAAAAUAUAUGUUGUUAAUAAAUUUUAUAUUGUUUACACUAAC
Long non-coding RNA from Brassica rapa (field mustard), 1487 nucleotides. RefSeq lists it as uncharacterized. Lineage: Eukaryota; Viridiplantae; Streptophyta; Magnoliopsida; Brassicales; Brassicaceae. The record is from RefSeq and is a predicted model, not a curated record.